This 20811-nucleotide long non-coding RNA is filed under the name Ananas comosus (pineapple). RNAcentral describes it as "long non-coding RNA (ACOM_LNC007281)". The record is from RNAcentral. Lineage: Eukaryota; Viridiplantae; Streptophyta; Magnoliopsida; Poales; Bromeliaceae.
GACAGGAAAGUCUACACCCAUUUCUUCAGUUAUACUAAUCUCCUCUCUUUUCUUCCUAUUUUCCUCGUCUUUUCUUUCUUGCUCUUUUCUCUAUUCUUUUUCUUCUUUCCUUUUGCAUUCUUCUUCUUUUCUUUUUUGCUCUUUUUCUCUUGCUCUUCGCUCUUUUUUUCUUUUCUUUUCUGAAAUUUUUCUUUUUUAUUUCUUUCUUCCUCUUUUCUUUGUUGAUUUUUUUUUUUCUUCUUCUUCGCUUUUCUUCUCUUUUUUCAAUUUUCUUCUUAUUUUUUGCUCGUUCUCUCUUCCUCCUACUUCUUGUCAAGAUGAGCCACCCGAUGGGCUUGCCUUCUAGCAGCAGAAAUUGCUUUCCCCAGUGCCGAAGCAAACCAAGAAUGCGAGAUUUUUCCUAUAGAAGCUUCUUUCGGCUGUUUGAUUGAAGGCGAUAAUGUGGAUGAUCCAAUUGAGGAAUAAGAAGAAGAAGAAGAAUCAAUUAAGAUAGUCUGAGAAUUUACCUUGGUCGAUGUCUGAUUAAGGGCUGAACAAAAGCUUAUUCCUCUGCUGAAGUUACAGCCGAGGGAACUUUUAUGGAAGGUAGAUCCUCAGUUGGAGCAGAGAAAGGUUAGGAAUGAAUUUUUAUUGCGAAAGUCUUACGCUGUUUCAGUUGCGGCUAUCGACUUAGAGAGUGUAGCUAUCGGCCGCUUCUCUGUACGUUGGGACGAUGGGUUAGGGACAGUUGUCGGCUGGAAAAGCAUGUAUUAGUGAGUUCAGCCAAGUACGUAUUCAAAAGAAAAUAUAUUGAAAAAUAAAAUUUACCUUGGAAGUGUGGAGAAAAUCUGCUGGAUCAUAGUCUGAGUGUUCCUCAGAAUCUUCCUGUCUUUGGGAAUUAGGAGAGAUUUCUGUUCCUAUAAAAGUUACUGAAAAAAUAAUUAAAUUAGAUUAAGGGCAAAGAAGAGAAAGAGAUACAAAUCGAUUAUAAAAUAAUGUACCUUCUGCAUGACGAAUUUUGCGAAGAACAAGAGACGUCAUUUGGAAAAAGACUUGUUCAUAAAAAACAUCCCAAGCUUUUGUGAAGUGAAAGUCCAUUGCCCAUAAGUGAUUCGGCCUAAAGCUUAUGAGCUUGAAGAAACGUUGGAGAUGAUUCCCUAUGGCUGAGAGCCGAUCAGCCUUGACUGCACUUUUCGUAAGAGGACGGUUGUUGGUGGUAUUAGCCGUGAAAAAUUUAGCCAGGACUGGAAUUGCCUGAACGAACCCGAAUUGACGCGCCACAUACUGAGGAGAAUACACUUCAAUGCUGGGCGUCAACUUGGAACAGGUUUUCAAUCCAAUGUGCAAGUCUCGAGAAGCCAGUAAGGAAUACUAGACAUCGGAGUACUCACUGGUGAGACAAAUGGCCAGUUGGCCCUUGAUGGCUUCAUACCGAGUGAGAAGCCAGGAUGGACCAGUAACACAUUCUCCAAAAGAGGCCCACGUGAUGAAACGACGUUGGCUCAGUUCAUAGAAAACUUUAAAAUAUGCGGUGAAGUCAACCGGUUGGCCCGAAGACAUAGGCUAUGGACAGUUGAGGGCUAAACCAUAGGUGUCAAAGUGAGGAGCCGAGUCCAAAUCUAAAGGGGAUUGGUAUAAAAAAGGAAAGUAAAUUUGCAAACACAUUUGUAAAAACCACAAAACACCGCAAUCGGAACUAAUUACUAAGCCAUUCCCCGACUAUAGUGGUUUGAUGGAUUCAAAAAAUUUUCAAUGUACAAAAGUAAGAAAAUAUGUGCCUAAUGCUAAUUUCUCAUCGUUGGCCAAAGCAACGGCGAUCAGGACAAAAUCUUGAUUAAUUUUCUAUGAGCGGGCAGAAAAAGUUAUGGCAAAGCCAAUGAAGAAGAAAAGUAGUGUGCUCCUUCUUAGUAACUGGACUAGGGGAAUGACCUACGAACCGGCGAAUAAAUUUGGUAUAGGCAAGGUCCGCCUUUGGGUCAAAAUAUAUAGGCCUUAAAAUCAUCCACUCCAUAAGGGUUGUAGCCCAUCGAAAGGGUAACGCCGUGAGGACGAAUACCAAUUAUUGCUGCCACAUCCAAAAGAGUCGGUGUUGAAGGGUGCUGAUCUGAAAGGAAAAGUGUUGGAAACAGAGGACCAGAAGCACAAAGUCGCAGCUAGAAGAAGGUUGUCGGCCUGGAGAGAAGUUCUCGAAAGUUGGAUGGCUUCGUAAAUUCCAACAUUAUGCCAGAGAUCAGAAUAAGAUUCUUCGACUCACUCUAGCCACGCCAAGUAAGCGUCUAAAACGCUAGGCCAAGUUCGAAGACUUUUUCCUGAUGACUUCGAGGCAUACCAAGAAUGCAGAUGAAUGGCAUCAGCCAUUAAGGGAAGAGCAUUGGUCGAGAAAGGAAAAUUCUCAAGAGCAGGGGUCUCUACAAAAAAAAGCUGAGCACAAGUCGAGAAGGAUCCGAUUCGACAUAUGGCUUGAAGAGGCUAUAUUCAAGAAAAGGAGAUGAAAAAAGAGGAGGAAUCGGCACCAUAAAAAAAAAAAGAGGCGUGAGGAAGAGGAAUCUCAGAUUGAGGGACAGUUGUAAAGAUGAAGAGGUGUGAAAGAAGAAAUCUCAGAUGAAAAAGCAAGAGAAAGAGGAGAGGAAAACGAAGUGCAAAAGUAGCAAAGGAGCUGCCGGAUGAAAUUUUAAAAAAUAGUCUUAAUGGUGAAAAGGUGGUGGCCAUAAAUGACCUAAUUAAUGUCUCAAAAGGGACAAAAAGAACGUGGCAAAUCGUGACCGUCAAAAGUGAAAGGACGGCUGGGAGAAGUAAACGGUAUAAGGCGAUUUAAAAUGUUGACCUUGGAAUCCGAGCCCUUGGAGGAGAUUAUGCCAGCCACCGAACUGAUCAUUCGGAAGCUAUCGAGGGGGUAAUUGUUGGUGAAAAACAAAUCACGCCACAUGGUAAACCGGGAUACACCGCAAGCAUGGCCUUUGAAGCCAAGGACGAGUAACAUAUGGUGCGCCAGGAACAAAGAAGGAUUCACAGCAAAUCGUAAAGUAGUUAAAGGGUUAUGCGGUUAAGAUCGGCUAGUCAUGGCCCACGAAAUCAGGGAUGUGGUCGAUCAUGGGAAUAACUGAAUAAUAAUAGACAUAUUAUAAAUAGAUAUGAGACAUCUGACAAAGGGGUUUUUUUUCCUAUGAACGAGAAGACCAAUUUCUAUUCUCCCCUGCAUCUUUUCUUACUUUCUAGGAGUAGUCUACCUGUAAUCUUUUUUACUUUUCCUGCAUUUACUGCAUUUCCUAAGAGUAGUCCGUAGUUUAGAUUUUUCUCUGGGAUCAUACACUAUAGUGGCGCGCGUUCUUUUCUAUAAACAUUUCUCAAAUUUUGAGUAAUAUAAAAGCUUUUCGGCUCUUCAGCCGAACGGAAAGUACAGUGUUGUUCCCUUGACUCGGCUGAUCCAGUCGAACCGAACUUACUGCGCGAAACUUAACUCGGCUGAUCUGAUCCCUCAUCAGUCGAAUCGCUUGAUCUAAUAGUGGGCGCAAGUUUCGAGGGUCAUCAUUCGUAGCCAUUCUGCCUCCUCGCACACUUCCCGAAAAAGGGUUUUGACCGAGCCAGCGGUCAAAGAAAUUGGCUCGCGACACAUACAAAGUCAACAAAUAUACAAAUUCCAUGCAAAAAAUUAGGGAGGGAGGGCACAAAAAGUAAAUAGUGCAUAGGUGUUAAGAAGCUAUUGCAUAAAACUAAAGAAGGGAGCAUAACUUCUUGAAAAUUGUAGGAACUUAAAAACCAGAAGCUAAUAAUUAUAGUGUGAAAGGGAGGACACCAAAAAAAACAUCCAAAAAAAAAAGAGAGGAGGCAUAACACAAUAGCAAACCUUGCUAUAAAGACUUGGAGGAAAAGCUAGCAGUGGGAAAGCGAAACCUUACAGGCACUUAAGGCAGAAGGACAAAACAUUAAUUUUCGGACAUUUAAUAUACCUAUACAUAAUGGAAUAGUAUAAGAAAAAGUAGAAACAUAGAUUAUCUCUAAGCAGGCAAUAAAAAUAGAGCAAUAUUUAGGGCCUUACGAAAUAGUAGAAUCGUAGAAUCCUAGAGAGAAAAUAAAUGUACGAGUGAGAUGAGUAAUAUUUUAAAUAAGGAAUAUACCUUUGUGAGUAGGCAAUAAAAAUAAUGAAAAAUGUAGGGACCCAUAAAAGACACAACCAUUAGAAAGGUGUAGAGGAAGUUAAUACAUCAGUGAGAUGAGUAAUUAUUGAAAUGAAGAAUAUACCUUUUAGGUUAAGAGAGAUGACACUACUGUGCUAUAUCAAACAGUGAGCAGUAUUUAUAACCCCUGAAGCUGCCUUUAUGGAAAUGAUCAUCACAAAGCAAAGAGGAGAAGAAGAAAAAAGAAAGAGGAAAAUAAGUGGACUAUAAGUAAUGCUUAAUGAUUAUAGGCAAUCUCAUCACUAGCAAGUGGCCCAUAUGGGAAAAUCAUUCAAGAUCUUUGAUAGUAUAGUGCAAAUACUUUGCAGCAUCCAUACAAAUAUAAUAAUCAUUCAAUAAAUCAUUCAAUAAAAUCUAAAAAAAAUCUCAACAAAAUCAGGUGAUUCAUUUCAUUAUAAUAAUCACAAAAACCUUUAAAAAGUCUGUAAAAUAUCUUAAGAGAUCUAAAAAAGUCUGUGAAUAUCCACCGAAAAUAGGGUAGUUUUAGGGUGUUGCAACUAGUGGAUCCAUCCAUCCGUCGGUCGAAUCGGGUAGUAUGGAAAUUGGGAGAGGGGCGUUGGAGAAGGGAGACAUGGGAAAAGGUCAGGACAAUCACACCUCUAUUAUAGAUUAUCUUUGUAGGUAGUAGGGGCUAGGACACAGAGAGGAGCGAGAAUCACACCUGUAAUAUAGGUUGCCUUCGAAAGCAGAGGGCGCAAUGAGUUCACCAUGAUGUUCAAUCCGACUAUGGUCAUUAGAUUAACCGUCGUGAAGAGAGAAGGGGGAGGGGCCAAGAGAGCGUGGGAACGAGAGAGUAGAGAGGGAGAAGGACAAAUAAAGAAGAGAGAGACGAGUUGGUGUCAGAGAGGUGCAUAAUGAGAGAGAGAGAGAGAGAGAGAGAGAGAGAGAGAGAGAGAGUAAGUAUAGAGCUAGGGAGGGAGAGUCCUGUAUAGGAGGAAAGAGAGAGAAAUAGAGAGACGGCAGAGAGACAUAUAGGAAGGAGAGAGAGAGAGUAUUUUGUCAAGGAGGCAUAAGUAUGGAUAGUUGAUUAGCAAUUUCAUCCAACACUAAAAAGAAAAGAAAAAGAAAGACAAAUAACUUCACACUUUCCCCUAAAGUUUCCAUCCUUGUAGUGCCUAUUCCAAAAAGAGUGUUGUCACUCGUAAUAUAGAAUAGUUGAUUAGCAAUUUUAUCAAACACUGAAAAGAAAGAAGAAGAAAGAAAUAAUUUCACGCUUUCUCCUAAAAUUUCCGUCCUUCAAAGAAAGUAAUGCCACUCAAAUUGUAGAAUAGCUGAUUAGCAAUUUUCUCAAACACUAAACAGAAAAGAAGAAAGACAAAUAACUCCAUGCUCUCUCCUAAAAUUUCCGUCCUUGGUAGUGUCAAUUCCAGCCGCCAAUUGUCGCCACACGGCACAUCAUUUAUACAUUUUCUGUCCCCGCCAACAAGUAGUGAGCUACAGGUUGAAUUAUUCUUGGCUCAUGUUACACAUCUUUAUGGUCUAUUACAGGGAAUUGAAAUUUAUUUUCCCCUACAGGAUAAGCUAGCUCCACUGGCAACUGAAAUCCAUCAAAACAUUUACGUAUGUGUUCCAAUUAGACAGAAUUAUGAGAACUCAUCUGUAUGAAAGGACAAGCUGUUAGCAGCAGAAGCUUGGAAAUUGAGAAUUUCUGGUACUGGAGAAUGAUGAGCUCGAUAUUUAAUCCUCCCACUCAUUCUGAAAGACCUUUGCCAUGGAUGCUCAAAAGUAAUGAUAACAUGCUGCAUGAAAGGAAAAGAACAGACAAAAGAGAAAGCAAUUAGAACACAUUUCAAUUAUCUAACAAAUGAAAAUAGUGUUCUUUUUUUCCUUUGCUUGUGUCUGGAAAAAGAAGUUGCAUCGAGCAAAUGUAGAUGCAGAUUACAUGAAGAAGUUGAAUGAUGUGAGGCAUGGCAUUUGCUCUAUUGCUCUGGACUACUCACUGCCAUAAAUAGUAAACAAUUAGAGAUACUGAACUUGAUAAGACGAACUUGAAUGUGAAGGGAUACAGUAAUACAAGCAUUUACCGUUUCAACAGAUAAAGGGUGUGUUAGAGAAGGAGCAACACAUGCUGAGCUUGGCUCUUUUGGCGAGCCAGGAUGAUGAAAUGCUUCUGACAUUCGCAACACAAUUUUCUCAUCCUUUACCCUCUCAACAACUUGGGAAGCUUUGCUGCUUGUUUGAAGAAUACCAUUACUUCCGAUGGGUCCUGACUAGUUAAGAAUUUAUAAGAAGAGAGGUAAAUCACUAAGAGAUCUAAGAAUAACAAAAGUUUUAUAUUCACAUGACGCAAGGUUGAAUCUACAUGACUUAAGUCUUUGAUGUGCACAACAAUGAUUGUUAUAUCAUCCGUCCGACUUUCGUGCUCUAACCAAUUCUUAUAAGACUCCGAAACAACUGCUGAGCAUGCGUCCCGAGGAUCUUCAAAUUUAGACACCUGAAGUAAAGGGAAAAAUCCUUUAGGAAAAGCAAGACUUAGAAAAAUAAAUCAUUACUUCAAACCUGACAUAUACAGAAUGUUGAAUUUUGAAUAUCAAAAUCGAAAUUAAACGGACAAUAAACUUCCUGUACUUAUGGAUUGAAGCCAUAAAUAGCUGCAGGUCACACUGCUGAAUUAUAGUUACUGUAUUUUGUGCCACGAUUAGUUGACCUACAGCUAUUCGGAAAAGAUUGUGAAGAUCUCCAAGAAGUGAGGGUGCCGAGCCCAGUACUUUAAAAGAGUCAAAAAAAAAGUGUAUCUAGUCAUGAAAGAAACUCAACACCACUCAAUAACAGUUUGAACAACAUCCAUCUCAAAAUGUGCAACCAUCCAUCUCAACACAUGCAGCUCAUGUUGUCAACAAUAUAGCCUAACUAACCCUAAUCGUAAACUAUAAACAAGUACUAGUACUACGAUCCCUUUACACAAGUAGAAUCUAUGAAAGCACAGGCACUUCAAAUAAUUGCUAAGUCCACACGUGUCAGUGAUGGGGUGGACACAUUCUUGCUCCAGUUCUUCUUUGGUGCGCCUCUAUCAACUCUGGAGUCAUCUAGCAUGGACUGGAAUGUAUCUAUUUAGGAUUUGGUAGGUUCCUUGGGACAUGUAUUCCCAUGGAUCAAGGCCUCAUUUGGUGCUGCUUCUAUUUCUUUUUCUUUUUGAAAUCCAAAUUCUAUGCGAUUAAAUGGGCCAACAAAUGGCAGAUCGUUUGCAAUCAAUAUACCUAGGGAUUCUGUUCAGCGACAAAAAAAAAAAAGAAAAAAAAAAAGAAAAUGGCAACAAAAAAAUAAAACCAAGUAGCAACAUUUUUGCGCCUAUUUAAGAUUUUUAAGAUGCCAUUCUGCAUACAAAAGCAUCCAACAUAAUGUUCCAAAAGGCGGUACGCGGUAUCCAUGCGAUUACCUACCGCAAAACGCAUAUGCGGUAUGCGGACACAUACAUGGAUGCAUUGCGGUCCAUGUAAAUAUUAAUAAAACAUUUAUAGGUAUUAAAAAUAAAUAUAAAUGCUUCCAAACAAGGCUAAAUAACUAAGGUAAAAUUCAGAAUUCACAAAUUAAAAUAAUUAAUUUCAAAUAAAUGACCUCAUAUGCACACGUAUUCACAAAACUAACAAUUAGUAAUCUACUUUUAACUAUUAAAUAGAGAAAUAAAUACAAUUUUGAUGCAAAAUCAUAAAAGAUGUCAAACAAAAAUCAAUCAAAAGCGGUAUGCCAAACUUUUAUGAAAAAUAAUAAUUUUUUCAAUAAACUAGCAUUCACAUCAUUUGAGAGUCCAAAACUUGAAAAAAAAAAAAUUUCUAGUAUAAUAACAUCUAACAACUACAAAAUUAUUUACCAAUAAUUAUAAAUAAAUAUUAGAGAGAUUAGGAAUAAUACGACUAAAAUGAGAAGAGAGAUAGUUAGAUUAUAUUUAUAUAAAGAUAAUUAUAUUUUUAUGCAUUAUUAUUAAUUAAAAUUGAAUGAAAGUAGUCAUAUGUAUAUGUAUUAUUAUUAAUCAAAUAAUCCCAUUCAACAUUGUAUUUCAAUCCUACUUUUAAAAUAAAAAUAAAUGAGUAAGAAAAGAAAAACUUUACCCCAUAUGGGCAACAUGUGUAGUCCGACCGCAUACCUCACCACAUAUUACAUAUGUGGUGCCGUUUAUAGUCUGAACCGCACAAGCGACUGCAUGAACCGCUUAUUGGAACAUUGAAGAUACCAAGGAUGGAGAAGUCCAGCUGGAUAUGGACAACCUCAUAAAUAAUUCUCAAGUUUCUCAAGGAAUAUCAUUUCAAUUUUUGAAAUUUGGGACUAUAAAUAGCAACUACUAGUUCAGAAUUGGACUUAAAAUCUCAACUCGUGAACUUCAAUAUGUGUCAGACAUAUUUGUAUAGCACCAUGAAAAACCAUGAAGAUAGUUAAAUACUUAUGUCAUCUCAGAAAUUGAAGUGGCUUGGUGAUGCAGAAAGUAGCCCUAAAAUAGCUCUUCCAACUAAUAUUAAGCAAAACUGCAAAGUAAUUCAAUAUGGUACAUAUUGCCAGCUGUUGUAUGUCAAAAUCCAUUCAGCUAUAUAUGUUCCCUUAAAAACUUUCUCAAGAAUUUUUCUUUUCUUUUCAUUUUUAUUUUUUAAAGAGAUUUCCAUUAGGCAUCAAUUCAAUUUAGUGUGAGGGUGAUACAUAAAUAGAGGGAGGUAAGAAAGAAGAUUCCCUAAAUCAGGACAAGUAGAUGAAAAUAUUCAGGGAAGAUGAAAAUAACAGGCCCCAAAACCUACACAGAACAAAGGAAAAUAUUAUUAAUGUGCUUUCCUAACCUACAAGUGAAAAUCAAACAACAAAUGGGGAUGAUUGUAGGCAGUCGCCAACCUAAGCAUACAAACAACAAUGUACCAAACUCAAGACAAGAAGUGCAGAUCAGUCGAGUUUAGCAAAAGAAAAACAAACAUGAAGAAAGAGUAGACAACAGCAGUCUCUGCUUCCUGCACCUCCAGCAACCAGCCCUAAGAGCUCCAGACCAUCAACCAAAUCCGCAAGUCAAAACCCUGCUUCCACUCCAUCGGACGUCAACUUUGAUAGAUACGAACAAGACAUACCAUUUCGAUAGCAGGUAGCGAUAAGAACUAAAGAACCAGGAACCAACAUUUUGGAGUAGAACUAGAAAGCUGGACAAAAGCUACAGUAAAACAAGAGAUUGUGACUCAAAGAAAAUGAAAGAUAAAAAAUACUUAGGUUAGGUUGAUACCAUGGAUUUAAGUACCGUGGCACAGGAUUGUGCCGGAAACUUGCGUGCCGGGCUGUGCCGACGCGUACCGGUCACAAAAAAUAUAUAUGUGCCGACACAUAAUAGCAUGAGAUAUUUAUUUGCUUUAGCAACAAAAUAUUCUAACGAUUUAUUAUGUAUCUUUAUCAAAUAUUUUGAACUUUAUUGAGAAAAUUACUUACUAAUUUGAAGAAUAGAGAGUUUUGAGCUCUGCCAUUAGCACGGGGGCUGUAUCGUGCCGAUAUCUUGUUGGCACGAUACGACACAGUAGAUACGGCCCGUACUGAUGGGCAUUUAAAUCCUUGGUUGAUAUAAUGGUAAAACUAUGGGUUGGACCAACAAUCGGCCGGUAGAAACGAAAGGCACAUGAUAGCGAAGAAGAAACAUAAAGCCACCGGCCAGUGGAAAUGAAUGGUACAUGAAAGCAGAGAAGAAAACACAAUGUCACCUGGAGAGGAGAACGAGCAGAACAAACGAGGAUCAAAGGAUUAACUUUUCUAAUGUCCAAUGUCAGGAUAUGCAAGACCAAUAAAAUUAGGAAGAAGAAGGCAUAAACACUAUUAACAAAGUCAAGGUGUCUCUUUCAAUCAUAAUAAAGACCCUAACAGCACUGGGUUUGUUGUAGAAAAUAUACUUGCAAAUAAUUUUUUUUUAAGGCACGUUAUGGUGGCAACAAGUUUAUCAAAUACUAUUAGAUUACAAUGUACACAAAGAAGUACAUUGCAAGUAACAAAUGCCCAACAAUAAGGCAGAGAAAACAAGGAAGACAUUGAUUGCUUCCUUUAGUUCAUACCGAAACUUCCAAUCCAUUAAGUGUAUUGCUCAAAUAUAUAUUUGCAAUAUGACAAGCUACAGAUUAGUAGUUAUAACAUACAGUAAAGUAGGGGCAAGUUUUACAAACACCAGACGCUUGCAGCCUUGGCUAAAGAGGAAAACAUGGGACCAAUUUCAACGCCAGCUCCAUUUUUAGCCCUCCAUAAUUUUGUCUUCAUAACAUUUUCCUACUCAUUUGCAAUACUACUACAUGCUAUGAAGCACAGAUAUUUCAAAUUUCAUGCCGUACCCGUAUCGGACACGUAUUGGAUACCGAUACGUGCCCGAUACGUGUCCAAUACGGCAAUGAAGUAUCCGGCAUAUUUAAAAAAUAAAAAAAAUAUCGGAUGCACCUCGGAUACGGGAGGGAUACAGGGGGAUACAAGGGGAUAUUGCCAGAUUCUUUUUUGGUCUAAAAUGAUCAGGCGCAAAUUUUUUGAAAAGCCCACAUCCAAACCCAUCGGAAAUAAGAAAAAGAGAGAGAAAAAUGUCAAUCUUUGUUUGUCAUUUCUUCUAUCUUUUUGCUCUUGAAUGGUUGAAGGCUCUCUCUCGUCUAUUUUCACACAGUAUUAAGUUAUGAUUCAGUCUUUUACCACUUCUCUUUCACUUUUUUUAAUGUAAUUUGUCAAUCUAGCACUAAUCAACAAAGGCCAUAUAGAAUGAUUUUUUUUUCUUCUAUUAAAUUGUUAGCAUAUUUUCUUUUAUUACUGUUGUAUAUAAUAGAACAUAAUAAAACAGACAUAUAUGUUGAAUGGCUAAUUAUUUAGUUUGUGUGACUAAAUAUCUAUUGGUAUCAUUUGAUCAAGUUGGAUGAUAGUUGGUUGAUACCUUUUGAAUAUUAUUUCAUUGAUUAUCUUUUUUUAUGAACAGAUGUAGAACAAUUACACAAGUUGAUGUAUAUCAGAAUAUAUUCCUUCACAUAAUCCAGAAUUUCAGAUAUCAUGAUUGUUCUCAAUAUACCAUUACAUAUAAUAAACAUAUAUUUAAAUAUAUUUAAAAUAAUAUUUUAUUCAAGUAUACCCCAUGUAUCGUAUCCUAGAAGUUUUAGGAAUUGCCGUAUCGUGUCGUAUCCGUAUCUGUAUCUGUGCAACAUAGACUAUAUGUAAUUUCAUUGCAAUUUUUGAGAACAAAUUUCUCAAUGUUCCAAAACUAAUUAUAUUUCACUGAAGAAGUUUUUGUUGUACAAAUCAUGAACCAGGCUUAGUAAACAUUUGACAUUCCUAAGAUUAAGGAAGAUACCAAAAUUGCAAGAUUAGACUGCUAACUUUUUAAUAAACCAAGAAGUUUAUAGUGUUUUCCGGCAAUCAACAGGUUCCACGCAGUUGUAACCAAAACCACUUGAAUUUAGCCUUUAAUCUAGGUUAUUGGACGAAGAUGACUAGCUAGUAAUAGGUUAGCCAUAUAAGGGUAAAGACGCAAGAUUCAAACAAACACAAUUUAUGGAUAAAAUAGUUACAAAAGAAGUCUAGGAGUGAUUUAAUUGUUGCCUUUUGUAGUGGCCUCAAAAGUGUUCUUAUUUCUACUACUGAAACAUGACUACUAGUCCCUUAGUGUCAGUGAUAAGUCCACUUUUUAAGUACAAAAAUAGCAGCAAACCAUGUUACACAAAUGCAAAUACAUGAAAGGGUUUCGACAUAAUACGGAUGAGGCGAUAUGGUAAUUUCUAAAAAUCUUAGUAUGUAGUGUACGGGGGAUAUCGGAGUGCGAUAAUCUUAAAUUCAUAUACAUUCAUAAUGGAGUAUAUCAAAAUAGUUUGGACAAUUAGAUAACAUAGAGCAAUAAAUGCACAAGCUUGUGCAAAGAUAAAGUAUUUGAUUUUGUUAAUGAAGAAUGAUGACUAAGCUAACCAAACAAUAAUUUUGAGUUUCAAUCAUGAACUAAUGAUGCAAGUGUCAUCUCAAUGCGUAAGUAAGGUAACUAAUCAUUACAUUUUUAAAAAAAUUUAAGUCAAUUAAGAAUGAGUCCAAUCUGCGUUAGUACCAAAAGGAGCACUCCAUGCCCUUCCUGCCUGCCUCCCUUAUCUAGGCAUUUUCCUAAAUUCUUGAGAUAUCAAAUACUCCUACAAGCAUCUGACAUGUACUGGGAACAUAUCGCUAUUCAAUGCAUACAGACACAGUGAAAAUGAAGCAUCCAAGUAUCAAAAGUAGCAACUAUAAAACUAAUAAGAGUUAACAAGUCCUUGGAGAGUGUGGAAGGCUUUGCAAUUGUGACACCCCGAGGAUUUGAAAUUGUCUUGUUUAUGAGGUAUAGUACGACUAAACCUCCAAAACCUGACUAUAGCAUUUUGGGCGAUGGGUAAUCCCAAGAGAUUAAGAGGGUUGAGCGAGUCUAGGGUUAGAAUAGUUUUAGAAUGGGUAACCUCCGUGGGAAGCAGGGUGUCACAGUUGGCAUCAGAGCCAAUCACCAGCCGAAAGCGUGAGAUAAGUAUCAGCUAAGCUAGGCUCAUACAGCAGGCAAAGUGCAGCUCUCCAACUGACGACCGUUAUAAGUAGAGUGCGGCUCCCCACAAUGUCGAUUAAGGCUAGCAUCAUGAGUCUUUCAUCGUCUAGUACUUGUAAGUAUGCUCAAGCCUGACAAGAACAUCAAGGCUUAAGGGAGGGUGGGGGGCUUAGUUCUAUAUAUAAGAUAUAGUAGGGUAAGUUUCUUAAACCCGGCAAUACCAUUUUAGGCAGUGGUUAAGCCCGAGAGGUUAAGAGGGUUGAGCGAGCCUAGGGCUAGAUUAGUUCUAGAAUGCAUAAACCCCCUAGAAAGUAGAGUGUCACAGCAAUAAUAGAUAAGAUGAAAAAAUGAUAAGAUAAGAGGAGGCAGCAAGAAAAGAUCAGCAGGGUUGAAAAAUGGACUGCAAAGAAAACAGCAUAGAGGAAAACUUCACAGAGACCUGAUGAGAAAGGACCAGUUGAUAUACAGCAUAACAGGAAGAAAGGAUUUCUCAUCUCAUUGGAAUUUGGAAUGUGCAAAGAAGAAAAAAAAAAUCCCUCUGACUUUUUUAGGCCAUUCUCUUUAUAAGGGGAUUACUUUUACUCCUGAAAAGAUUUUUAGAGUUAAAGACUUGUUUUCAAAGGUUCGAUAUCAUAUAUAUCUUGACCCAAAAAAUGUUCCAAGGAAAUUAUAAAGUUGGGCAUUAGCCAUGUAUACUGACAACUGAAAAAAUUGGUGGCAAAAAUAAAUUUCCAACAAGAUAAAAGUAAGUCAAAUUUUGUAUUGUCUCUCCUUGAACUGAACAAACUUUGGCUUCCUAACUAUGGGUCUGAUCCAAAUCGAGAACAUAUAUGAACCAGGUGAGUCUUGAUCAAUUGAUGGUAAAUUGGUGAUUUCUUUAUUAACGUAUUGAGUUUAGUUACCAAAAAAAGGGCUUUAAGAUGGGCAGUUUCAGAGCCAACUUAAGAACCUGUGUCAGACAAAACUUAGCCUAGCUUAAUUUUAAUAAAUGAUCUGAUUACCAUAUAUAUUCAACUAUGAUGUGGACAGCAACAAUGAGUAAAAAAAAAAAAAAAAAAAAAAAAAACGAUCGAACCCCUAAUUGACAGAAGAAAGGAAGUUCUAAAUGAAUAUCUACAUCAUCUCUAAACCACUCUUGCCACUAAUAUAGAAGGUGUUAACUGAGUUAGUCACAUUGUUAGCUCUACUUUUUCAACUCAUUGCAAAUUCACUAACCAUCUUAUCUGGAAAAUAUUUUAUAGUCAAAUUAAUGAUUAAGUAAAGAAAAUGGAGUUAAUGUAAUUGACACCCAAAAUUUUCUCUAACAGGAAAGAUAAAUAUAGAAAAACGACAACCUGUGUAAGUUCAAAUUCAAGUUCCAAAGGAAAAAAACUUGUAAGCUUAUGCAAAGUGAAAAUUGCAAAACAUACCAUGUCAACCACAGCUUGACUAGAAAGGAAUUCGAAAACCCCAUCACUUGCAAUGACAAAGAAGAGAUGGUGCGACGCAAUCUUCAGCACCUUCACCUCAGGCUCUGCAAUAACGCCGAUACUCUCGGCCGUUGAGUCUCCCACGCUCCUCGUGAACGCAGUCCCCGGGUACAUCCCAUUCGGGACCCACAGCCUCGGUGGGUCCCCGUCAUCGUUCUCCUCAUUCCCCCAGUGUUGUAUGUUAGGGUCCUUAACCCCCUCCACCUGGUCCACACUCAAAACCCGAGCCCCACACUGCUUCACCCUCUCAUACUCGUCCUUCCUGAACGGCGUCUGGUCGCAAGACAGAUCCUCGGCCACCACGGCGGAGCCAUUCCAGACGCCUGCAACAGCCCGGGAGUCACCCACAUUGGCCACAUAGAGCGUGUCGCCGCUGACGAGCACGGUGAUGGCUGUGGUGCCGCUCAUCGUGUCGUCGAUGCUGCUAUCGUGGAGCUCGGUGUUGGUGGCGAGGAAGGUCGAGGCGUAGGCCUCCGCGGGGGAAUCCAGCAGGCGGGUGUCGGCAGACAGGAUGUCGACGAGGCGGUCGCGGACGAAGGCGGCGCACUGGGCGCCGAACUGGCCGUGGCCGUCGAAGACGCCGAAGAAGUGGAGGUUGGGGUUGUCCUGCAGGCGAGUGCGGAUGCAGAGGCAGUCCUGGUUCUCGCGGUCGGGGGAUUCGGGGUAGUGGCCGCGCUGGCUGAGGGAGGAGUAGACGAGGCGGAAGUGGUGGGAGGGGACGGCGGCGGAGCCCAGCGGGGCGCCUAAGAGGACCUGCCGGCGCUGGCCGAGAAGGCUGCCGUCGUUGUGGAGAACAACGCCGCAAGGGGCGACGUCUGCUGCGCCGCCGCCGCCUCCCUCGCUUCCGGCAGCCGAAGAGUCGCCGCAACACCAGCAGCAGCAGCAGCAGCAGCAGUAGUCGUCCGCGCCGCAGCACUUGCCGUGGACGCAGCCCAUGAUCACAGAUAGGGUUCCCACGAGAGGAACCUGAAGAAGAAGAAGAAGAAGAAGAAGAAGAGGGUGAAAGGGGGGGGUGUCAAAGGAAAUAAACAACAAGUGGAAGCAAUCAUUAGCCCAUCAAGAAAUCCCUAGAAUCUGCUGACGAAACAGAGAGAGAAUAGUGCGCCAAAAGGGUCAAAAAAAGGAAAGUGAGGAAGGGAUGGGCGAAAAUAGGCUCUCUUCAAUGGAGGGGUUGGGCUGGCUUAUGCCUUCUCCCCUACAGAGGGUUUGUGCCUUUGCCCACUACCUAGGAAAAGGAUUAAAUAACCCCAUGAGAGAGAGUGAGGGAAAUGCUCAUCUCCUGAAAUCCCUACUUCAAGAAACCAAUGGCUGAACUAAUUAAUAAUCAGACAGAGAAAUGGGAACGAGACGGGCAAGACUAGCUCAUUCAUUUUAUGCUUAUUAUUAUUAUUAUUAUUAUUAUUAUAAAAUAAAACCAGAAGAGAACUCCCGAGUGUUAGGGUUGGGGGACAGUCGCAGCAGCAGCUUGGCGUUUGCUCAUCAGUCGCCAUCAUUAUUGACGGAUGUGGAACCAGAAAUCAACACGAAAUCUUUCACCCUUUUCGGGCAAAUAAAGAAAAGAUUAAAAGAAAAUGGGACUACGCGAGCGCGAAUAUAGAUUUUUUUUUUUUUUCCUUUGUUUUUUUUUUUCCUUCUUUCUCCUGGAGAUUCGGUGAGUGGGGAUGACGGGUGUCACGCGUGACCGUGGGAAGCUAGAAACCAGAAUGGGCAAAAUAGCAUAAAUUAUGCCAUGCACCUUGUUCUAUCCACCGAAAUUUUUUAACAGUUAAAUUUUUUAAAAAAUAGAAAUAACUGUAGAAAAUAUCUUUUAAAUUCUGGUGCUCUUGCAGAUAGACUCUGAGCUUUAAUUUUGAUAACUAGAUUUUUUCCUUAAAAGUAUAUUACUAAAUACCGAACUGAGUCUGAUCUUUCUGCCUGAAAAACUCUGUAGUCUAACCUCGUCUGAAGGAAGGAUUUUGAUCUUCGUUACCAUUCCGAAGUGGAUGAUUUAGAUCCUCUUGAGUGGAUGUUAAGUGGGCAUCUCAUCUAUCUAGUCGGGACUCUGAGCGGAUCAAAGAGAGUGAGAAACUAUUUUCUCUUCUAGCAGCAAUAAUUAAAUAUCCUAGUUGAUUGUCCCUAGCACAAGUUGCAAAAGGCUUGAUGGUUGAUACCCGAGGUCCCAAAUUUGAAUCCUAGUUGAUUCACAUUUCCAGCUAAGUUUAUUUCUAAACAAAAUAAAACGAAACGGGAUGAAAGAAUAGGAUAAACCAUUCUUUAAUUUUUAGAGUUAAUUGCAUACAGGUCUCUGCAAACAUGAUGAAUUACAAAUAUAUUCCUGCAAAGUUCAACUUUCAUAAAUUAUCCCUACAAAAGCCCUAAUGUAUUCAAAUAUGUCCCUCUGGUUAGCAUCCGUUAGAGAACUGUUUAGUUUUUAACAGUAGAUUCGUGAAAUGACUUUUUUUUCCCUCACAAAUAUGUCUCUUCAAAACUUCAGCUGGUAUACAUUUGCAUAAAUGCCCUCACAAAUCUCCAUUUUCCUCUUUCUUUUUUUUCAGGCUGCAGGAGCGGACAGCGGCAGCGGCAGCGGCAGCGGCGGCGGCGGCGACGGCACGGAGCUUGUUGGAGUUGCGGCCGACGAGGACAAGGUUGAGGCCCGCAAUGACGAGGUGAAGGGCGAAGGUGCGGCCAAUUCGAAGAAAGAGGAGGAAAAUGAAAAGGAAGAAGUAGGAGGAGAAAAGGAGGAGGAGGAGGAGGAGGAGGAGAAGAAGAAGAGGAAGAGGAAGAGGAAGAGGAAGAAGAAGAAGAUGAAAAGGAAGAGGAAGAGGAAGAAGAAGAAGGAUAAAAUUGUCAAUUUUCCUUAUUAAUUAAACAUGGUUAAGUAUUUUAAUUAUGGUUAAUUAAAUUUUUUUAACGGAACUUAACGGCAGGGACAUAUCUGAAUACAUUAGGAUUUUUGUAGGGAUAACUUAUGAAAAUUGAACUUUGCAGGAAUAUAUCUGCAAUUCACCAUAUUUGCAGGGACAUGUAUGCAAUUAACCCUAAUUUUUAUUACUUUUUUCAUUCCUUCGAAUAGAAAAAAUAAAUUCUCUUUCUUUUGUGUUGUGAACCUUUGUAGGAUAAAAUGCAAAAAAUACAACAAAUAUAGUUGUUUAGUAAGGCUUAGUUUGAUAUUGAAGUCUAUCUAACGCUACUAGAUAAAAUAGAGUUGAGGAAAAAGCAUAUAGGAAUAUGCUUCUACGUUCUCUGGUCGGAUCGUUGAAAAUAUAUCGUUACCGACUCAUCGCGAUAUGCGGAACGUAAUAUUACGUACGAAAACAAACAGGGUAUUUUUUCAACGUACUUUCUCACCGCACGUAACGUAAUCUCCCGGCAAUCCCAAACGAAGCCUAACUUCGCUUGAGAAGAAUAAUAUAUGAAAAAAUCUCGUAAAGUUUAAAAAUUUUAUUAUCAAAAUUAAAAGUUCAGAAGGUUUACUUGCAAAAGUGCUUAAGCUUUGAAUUUGUUUGUACAUUUAUUCCAAAAUUUUAAACUAUGAGUCAUUAGAUGAAAUCUACAAUUUAAAUUAUAAAAUUUAUAAUUUUUUUUGGCUUUUCUUCAUGUGACCAAGAAUAAACUUUGGAAAGACAUAAUAAAUUCACAUGAUAUAAAAUUUUGUUACCGGUAGGUGAGGGCUUAGAUUACCUUUCCCGACUACUCCACAAUAUUUCUAUACAUUCUAAUAAGAGCAGCAUUAUUAAUACACUGUAAAGUGAGAUGUAUAUUUUACAUUAUUUUUAUUCAAGAGUCAUUUUUUUUGCUUGUCACAUUUUUUUUUUUACUGAAAAUCAUUUGGAUUAUUGCGAAGCCCAAUCAAAAAAUGGUAAAGUUGGUAAAAUUCAGAUUAAAUCUGAUUGUUUUUACCUAUAAUAUAUUCAAAAUUUUCUUUCUCGUCAAAAGAUUUGUGCACUUAAGUUAUAAAAUUUGAACGCUACUCUCCAUUAGUUUAACAAUAUACCUGUCUAUAUCUUUGAUAUUUGAGAUUAUUUGAUGUUCAGGUACUGAAUUUCCAUUUGGAAAUUAGCCGAUAAGAUACACACACGUACCCUACCUUUUUCUUCAAGCAGGAUCUAAAUUUAAAGCCCACCAUCAAAUGGUCGAGAAUACCUACUAACAAAUUACUGUAGUGUAGUGUCUUAGUGACACAUUUUCAGAAAUUAUUAUUUAAAUAUGAGAGCCUUUAGAUAUAUUAAUCACAUAUAUCGUACACAAUUUUAAAUUUAAUAUUAUUAUUUUUUUUUUUUAUUAAAUAUUAAAUGUCGUGUGUAAAGACAAUAAUUUUACAAAGGCUAGAGAUCUUAGAAAUAAACCGCCAAACACAAUUAAAAAAUUCUAGAUGGUACAAACAAAAAAUUACGUUGUUUUACAUGUAAGCUGAUUGUGUUACAUUUUUUUUUUUUUAUGAGAGAAAGAUAAGUAUGCUACCCGCUUUGCUUAUUUCUUUUAAAAAUAAACUUAGCUAGAAAUAUAAAGUAAAUAGACUUCGAACUUAAACCUGGGGUACCAACCAUCAAUUUCUUUACCACUUGCGCUAGGACGGUCAGUUUUUGUGUUACAAAUCUUGUCAAAUAAUCUAUAUUUAUUAUUUAGGUAACUUACCCGGCUAGAUCAAGAACUUUUCCUAGAACUCUACUGUGUUCCUCAACAUUUUAGAUUUAAUAUUUGAGAUUCUAAUUUUUUUUGGCAAUGUUUUAUUUUAGUUCCAAAACUAGCAAAAAUAUUUUAUUUUUUAAAGAUAGAUAGCACGCUACCCGCUUCGUUUUCUUCAUUUAGAAAUAAACUUAGCUGGAAAUGUGAAUCAACCAGGAUUCGAACUUGAGUCUCGGGUACCAACCACCAAGCCCUUUGCCACUUGCUUUAGGAACGGUCGGUAGCAAAAAUAUUUUAUUGUUCUCCUUAUGGUGAAAUGAACAAUAUUGCUUCCACUAGUGCGCUUUAUGUUCUUAUAUUACGGCUCUGGUAGAUCUUUAGUCCCACAAAUACUUUUAGGUUAAAAGUCAUGUUUAAUACGGUAAAAAAAUUUAUCACCUAAUUAAUAUUAAGGUAGAAAUAUUUGAUUACUUUUAGGUUAAAAGUCAUGUUUAAUACAGUAAAAAAAAUUAUCACCUAAUUAAUAAUAAGGUAGAAAUAUUUGAUUACUUUUAGGGUGCGUUUGGUUCGCAUUAUGAAAGAUUACUAGGAAUAAAAGAUAUCCGAGAAUCUUAUUCCUAUUCAUCAUAUUACUAAGAAUGUGGAAUUCCCGCGUUUGGUUCGCACGGUAAUAUUAAUUAGCCAUGUUAUUUAAUAUUGCAAAAAAUAUGCAAUUAAUUAAUUUAUUUAUUUAAUUAAUUUUAGAUAAUGUUACCAAAAGUUUCAACAUCUUUUUAGAAAAAAGGAAGAGAGAGUAUAAGUUAGAGAGAGAGCAUAAUUGAAAAAAUAGAAAGAAAAAUAUAGUCGAAAUUAGAGAGAGUGAGAGUUGAAAUUUUAGAAAGAGAGAGAGAGAGAGAAAGCUUAGUUUAGAGAGAGAAAAAAAAUUGAAUUUAGAGAGAAAAAUAAGUUUAGAGAGAGAUAUAAGGUUAGAAUGUAAAGAAAAAUAAUAUCAAUUAGCCGCGGGUAGGAAGAAAUAAAGAGAUUAGACAUAUUAUGAUUACCUGAAUCCAUUAAUAUGAGGAUACCCACCUUCCUUCAAGGGAAUGAGAUUAGUACUUUGGGGUGAAUCAUAUUUCCAAGUGAAUCCAAUAUUACUAAUUAGAUUACUUAGUGCGUUUAGUCAAACACCGUCAUAUUUUUUUAUUCCCAUUGGAUUACUAGGAAUCUUUAAAAAAUAGCGCGAACCAAACGCACCCUUAGGUUAAAAGUCAUGUUUAAUACAGUAAAAAAAAUUAUCACCUAAUUAAUAAUAAGGUAGAAAUAUUUGAUUACUUUUAGGUUAAAAGUCAUGUUUAAUACAGUAAAAAAAAUUAUCACCUAAUUAAUAAUAAGGUAGAAAUAUUUGAUUACUUUUAGGUUAAAAGUCAUGUUUAAUACAGUAAAAAAAAUUAUCACCUAAUUAAUAAUAAGGUAGAAAUAUUUGAUGAGAAAGAAUCGGUAAAUACAUAGUAUUAAAUACACAUGCACGGAGUGGAGGUGACAGUUCAAGCUUCAAUACUAAAUAGAUAAAAAACAAAUAGAAUCUCAAUUAAACAAUGAGUAAUUUUGAAACAGCUAUCCAACCUAUUAAAAUUUUAAUUUUACUAUUCAAUCUUUCAAUUUGUCUGAUUUUAGUCAGUCAACGAUAUUUUAAUUUCAAAUUUUAAGCUAAUUAUUUAGUUUAAAAAAUUAAUAAUUGCAAGAAUUGUAUGAAAUAUAUUAAUUAAAUCUGAAAGGAGAAACAAUGUAUUUAAAUUUUAAAGCCAAAUUGUCGUUGAUUAACUGAAAUCAAAUGAAUUAAGCAGUUGGAUAGUAAAAUUAAAAUUUUUAAAGGUUGGCUAGCCAUUUCAAAAUAGUCUAUGGUUCAGAUAAGUUUUAUAUAUUUUUAUCUAGUACACAUACAUAACAACUAAAAUAAAAAUCUUUCAAGAGUUUAAAAUCUCUAACAUUAAAAUAAAAAAUUUGAAGAUCAAAAUAAAAUAUAGUUGAAAGCUAAGAGACAGGUAGUGUAUUUUUACUCUCUAGAUUCCGGCAAUAUUUUAAAAAUAGAUUACAUAGCGACUCGAAAAUAUUACUGGAUAAAAAGGAUCACUUGUUGAACUAGUAA